Molecule: ribosomal RNA, 439 nt
Filed under: uncultured bacterium
Lineage: Bacteria
Description: partial 16S ribosomal RNA
Rfam family: Bacterial small subunit ribosomal RNA
Source: RNAcentral
CUACGGGGGGCUCCAGUGGGGAAUAUUGCACAAUGGAGGAAACUCUGAUGCAGCAACGCCGCGUGGAGGAUGACACUUUUCGGAGCGUAAACUCCUUUUAUAUAGGAAGAAGAUGACGGUACUAUAUGAAUAAGCGCCGGCUAACUCCGUGCCAGCAGCCGCGGUAAUACGGAGGGCGCAAGCGUUACUCGGAAUCACUGGGCGUAAAGAGCGUGUAGGCGGAUUAAAAAGUCAGAAGUGAAAUCCUAUAGCUUAACUAUAGAACUGCUUCUGAAACGCUUAAUCUAGAAUAUGGGAGAGGGAGAUGGAAUUUCUGGUGUAGGGGUAAAAUCCGUAGAGAUCAGAAGGAAUACCGAUUGCGAAGGCGAUCUACUAGAACAUUAUUGACGCUGAGACGCGAAAGCGUGGGGAGCAAACAGGAUUAGAUACCCGCGUAGUC